GUGAAUCAUCGAAUUUUUGAACGCAAAUUGCACUUUCUGGUAUUCCGGAAAGUAUGCCUGUUUGAGGGUCAGUUAAAUAAAAUCGGUGUUGUUUCUUCUUUUCGUGGUUACGCGGCGGAAUUUAAUUGUCUUAACUUCGGUUUAAUUACUUAAAAUUUUGCAUGAUUUUCGAACGGAUUUUAAUUUCUUAAGUACGUUUGAGAUAUCGAAUACUUUAUUAAGUUCGGUCAUCCUC
This 235-nucleotide unclassified non-coding RNA is filed under the name Glomus sp. RNAcentral describes it as "partial contains 5.8S ribosomal RNA and internal transcribed spacer 2". The stretch from base 1 to 71 matches the Rfam family "5.8S ribosomal RNA", at positions 84 to 154 of the family's 154-position model. The record is from RNAcentral. Lineage: Eukaryota; Fungi; Glomeromycota; Glomeromycetes; Glomerales; Glomeraceae.